This is a non-coding RNA of Nylanderia fulva, 451 nucleotides long. The record is from RefSeq and is a predicted model, not a curated record. NCBI's taxonomy places the organism in Eukaryota, Metazoa, Arthropoda, Insecta, Hymenoptera, Formicidae.
UCGAACCACGUCGCCAUAGAUAUAAUAUUGUACUUUUAAUAAAGUGUGUGAAUAUAUUAUAUUCUUUCAACAUUGCAUACUUCGAAAGCAUUAAUUUGCUGCAGUUUAUUUUUAAAACAAUAUAUAGUUUUAAUCAAUAUAGUUUUUCAAUUAACAUUCUGUUUCGAAAUAUUUGUGUUUUACAGACCUAAAAUAAAUUUUUCGACACGAUGAUAUUUUUACUAUUAAUUAGCGGAAUAAUGUAUAUCGUUGGGACGGCUUCUACUCCUAAUCAAUCGUCUUUAUGCUAUCAACCAUCAAAAUAUAUAAAACCAAAUCAUUACGAUAUCAAGUUUAUAUCAUAUAUUGAAAAAUACAUUUUCUAUGGAGAAUACAAUAUUAGCAUAAGCAUUCUUAACAAAACGCAAAAUAUAUUAAUCAACAACAUAUAUUCAGAUGAAUUAUUACCAGG